Rosa rugosa (rugosa rose) is the source of this 1918-nucleotide long non-coding RNA. RefSeq lists it as uncharacterized. Lineage: Eukaryota; Viridiplantae; Streptophyta; Magnoliopsida; Rosales; Rosaceae. The record is from RefSeq and is a predicted model, not a curated record. The transcript has 8 exons.
AUAAGAAAAUAAAUACGGAAUCAUUGAGGAAAACAGAAAUUGCCGGCAGUUAGCACGAUCUCCUCGAAGAACGACUGCCGGGGCGCACGAUUGGAGACGGAAGGCGGACGUGGGAGAUGAUUGGAGUGGAUAUGGCUUCCUUAUUAUUCACCCCACUCUCAAUUUACGGUUCAUAUAAAAGGAGAAGGGAAAGAGGAGCAGAGCAAAAUCAAACCCAGAAAGAGGAAAAAAUUAGAAUCAAAUCGGAGACUUUCAGAUUUCGUGUUCCAUUGAUUUGGGUAUCCUAUUUCCAUUGAUGUGGGCAGAGCUGAUUCUCAAUCAAACCCAAAAGGCAGAGUAAUAGGUAUCAACUCGAGCGAAAAUCAAAAUUAAAAUCAAAAUCGACUCAGUUUUGGCGAAUUACCUAAAGGUGAGACUACCUAAUUGUGACAGGGUAUUUUGGGGUUAAGUUUCCAUUGAUUUGGUUUUGGUGAUUGCCAAAUGCUGCUUCGCUUUCUUUCAAUUUUUGCAGGUAAAUGUAUGGGAGAUUUCGGAACAUUGUGAAAGUUGGUGUCGCCUAAUAUUAGUUGCAGUGGAGCCACCAAGGUUUCAGUAAGGCCAUUCCGCAGUGGUUAAUUAUAACUCAAACAGAGGAACAAAAUUAAAAUCAAAAUCGACUCAGUUUUGGCGAAUUACCUAAAGGUGAGACUACCUAAUUGUGACAGGGUAUUUUGGGGUUAAGUUUCCAUUGAUUUGGUUUUGGUGAUUGCCAAAUGCUGCUUCGCUUUCUUUCAAUUUUUGCAGGUAAAUGUAUGGGAGAUUUCGGAACAUUGUGAAAGUUGGUGUCGCCUAAUAUUAGUUGCAGUGGAGCCACCAAGGUUUCAGUAAGGCCAUUCCGCAGUGGUUAAUUAUAACUCAAACAGAGGAACAAAAUUAAAAUCAAAAUCGACUCAGUUUUGGCGAAUUACCUAAAGGUACCUGUAAAGUAUUUGAUUGGGGACUUGAAAGGAAAAGCGCAAGACCAGUCUUCUUGGUUCGUCUUUCUUGGAGCAUGUUAAGGAGAUAUUGGAACCUGAUACUCUUAUUGCUGCAGCGCCUUGGGUGUACUACCCAAUAAUUGAAAAGUAUUCAAUAUAUUUGACAUAGCUCUUCAGCGCUUCCAAACCGAGCAUGGAAAAGGGUUUCCAACUCAUUUCUCCCAGAUAGGGGCUCCUGACUUCUAUACCAUUCAAAGGCUGACAAGGUUGGAAAAAGCUUCAUUUUUUUUAUCACUGCUCUGAACAAGACAGGUCUGAUGGUUUUGAAUUCAUUGUAUUAAAUCCACUUCCUACUCGCAUUAUGCUCUUUAUGAUCUUCGCUCAUGAUUCAAUUGCCAUGUAUUUGGCUAUUGAACCUCAAAGUUUAUGUUUUCAUGUGAUCAAUCAAUGCAGCAAGCUUCAAGGACGCUAUAAACACAGACAUGCCAAAAUACUGCAACCAUCAAGUAAAGAUGCGGCCUCAAGUAAGGCCUUGAUUAGAAUUUGAUCUAAUUCAAACUCGCCGUAUUUGAUUCCUUAUUGAUUGUUAUGGGACAAGUUUCUUCAUCACGCCCUCAGCCAUCGAAUGAUGGCCAGGAACCAUCCCGUGUUCAUGCACCCAAUGCAGAAAGGCAAAGUACAAAUACCUCUCAAGGAGAGAGGAGACAAUCAGUGAGUUCUUCAGAAGCUAUUUUAUCGCAGUCUCACCCACUGGAUGAAGAUCAGGUUAAUUUGCAUGAAACAUUGUUUCGUUUGUUACAUGUAAACAAUUGAUUGAAAGCUUCAUAGCAGGGAUUUGGGAUUUUAGGAGCUGAUGAAAUGCUUAGUUUGUACCUGUAUUAAUGCAAGAUGAAUAUUGGUUGCUGGUGUUAUUUCAAAAAAGAAUUACAUGUGAAUUUCAAAGGCUUAUGAGGUUAUUGAAA